Molecule: long non-coding RNA, 628 nt
Organism: Sinocyclocheilus rhinocerous
Lineage: Eukaryota; Metazoa; Chordata; Actinopteri; Cypriniformes; Cyprinidae
Exons: 3
Source: RefSeq, a predicted model, not a curated record
GUUUUUCCAUCAGCACAGUGGCAGUCGCCCUAGGGGCUCUCACACUGUGGCAUGCUGUACUUAUCACCCGUGGAGAAACCAGCAUUGAACGCCAUAUAAACAACAAAGAGGCCAAACGUUGGGCGAGACAUGGAAAGGUCUAUCGGAAUCCUUUCAGUUAUGGUAAACUAAACAACUGGAAGGUGUUUUUUGGUGUAGAAAAGAGAAGACAUUGGCUGACACGUGUUCUCCUACCCUCUGGACACACCGCAUAUGGUGACGGACUGACAUGGGACAUUUACCCUCUUAAAAAAGACAUGAUGCCAGUCUGAGACAUUAAAGACUUGACUGUCUUAGUUGGCGAUGACCAACAUGCUCAUCAGGGUGAGUCCCACCCACUGUACCAAGGCUGAAUGCAGAACCAGAGCCCUGGGAACAUGGGAGUCUGCAGAGCCCAGAUUUAGACAGCGAUCUCACUGGAUGACUUUUGCUCUUUCUGGCCAAAUGAAAGGGCUGUUCUCCAAAAAACACCAUGCAUAUUUUGGAUAUUUCUAUCAAUAUUUUGUAAUGAAACCCAUGACGGUUGUCUAAGCGAUACUGUGCUUAAAGGGAUAGUUCACCCAAAAAUAAAAAUACUGUCAUCAUUUUC